RNAcentral lists this ribosomal RNA (116 nucleotides) under Canis lupus dingo (dingo). The record is from RNAcentral. Lineage: Eukaryota; Metazoa; Chordata; Mammalia; Carnivora; Canidae.
GUCUACGGCCAUACCACCCUGAACGCGCCCGAUCUCGUCUGAUCUCGGAAGCUAAGCAGGGUCGGGCCUGGUUAGUACUUGGAUGGGAGACUAUUCUAAAGCUAAAAUAGUAUCUC